ACUCCUACGGGAGGCAGCAGUGGGGAAUUUUGGACAAUGGACGCAAGUCUGAUCCAGCCAUUCCGCGUGCAGGAUGAAGGCCCUCGGGUUGUAAACUGCUUUUGUACAGAACGAAAAGGCUCUGGUUAAUACCUGGGGCUCAUGACGGUACUGUAAGAAUAAGCACCGGCUAACUACGUGCCAGCAGCCGCGGUAAU
Molecule: ribosomal RNA, 197 nt
Filed under: uncultured bacterium
Lineage: Bacteria
Description: partial 16S ribosomal RNA
Rfam family: Bacterial small subunit ribosomal RNA
Source: RNAcentral